CGCGAAUCGCCCUUCGGGGUGCAGCAGGCGCGAAAACUUUACAAUGCGGGAAACCGUGAUAAGGGGACACCGAGUGCCAGCAUCAUAUGCUGGCUGUCCGGGUGUGUAAAAUACACCCGUUAGCAAGGGCCGGGCAAGACCGGUGCCAGCCGCCGCGGUAACACCGGCGGCCCGAGUGGUGAUCGUGAUUAUUGGGUCUAAAGGGUCCGUAGCCGGUUUGGUCAGUCCUCCGGGAAAUCUGACGGCUCAACCGUUAGGCUUUCGGGGGAUACUGCCAGGCUUGGAACCGGGAGAGGUAAGAGGUACUACAGGGGUAGGAGUGAAAUCUUGUAAUCCCUGUGAGACCACCUGUGGCGAAGGCGUCUUACCAGAACGGGUUCGACGGUGAGGGACGAAAGCUGGGGGCACGAACCGGAUUAGAUACCCGGGUAGUCCCAGCCGUAAACGAUGCUCGCUAGGUGUCAGGCAUGGCGCGACCGUGUCUGGUGCCGCAGGGAAGCCGUGAAGCGAGCCACCUGGGAAGUACGGCCGCAAGGCUGAAACUUAAAGGAAUUGGCGGGGGAGCAC
RNAcentral lists this ribosomal RNA (567 nucleotides) under uncultured archaeon. RNAcentral describes it as "bacterial SSU rRNA". It matches the Rfam family "Archaeal small subunit ribosomal RNA", at positions 312 to 879 of the family's 1478-position model. The record is from RNAcentral.